UCAACACCAAAAUGUCCAGCAAGAUGUCUAGUUUAAGCAUACCAAAUUUCAAAGGCAUUGGAUUAAAUCUCAUCAUUUCACAAAGCAAAUGGCAAGCAAGGUCAAGAAAACACAUGCAUACACAAACCCUAAGCCAAAAUAUUUUUCAACCGUGCACAAUUUCAGGAAAAAUAGCCAAAAAAUACUAGAUAUGAUGAGGAGAACAAUGCAAAAAUUCCCAGGUCAUUUGGAUGAUUAUUUAUGGAGUUAUGAAUUUUCAAAGUGCAGAAAAAAA
RNAcentral lists this long non-coding RNA (274 nucleotides) under Lathyrus oleraceus (garden pea). Its description in RNAcentral is "Pisum sativum (pea) long non-coding RNA (PSAT_LNC015381)". The record is from RNAcentral. Lineage: Eukaryota; Viridiplantae; Streptophyta; Magnoliopsida; Fabales; Fabaceae.